Pteropus vampyrus (large flying fox) is the source of this 119-nucleotide ribosomal RNA. The record is from Ensembl. Lineage: Eukaryota; Metazoa; Chordata; Mammalia; Chiroptera; Pteropodidae.
GUCCAUGGCCAUGCCACCCUGAACGCGCCCGAUCGCGUCUGAUCUCGGAAGCUAAGCAGGGUCGAGCCUGGUUUGGACUCGGAUGGCAGACCACCGAGGAAGACCAGGUGCUGUAGGCG